This 639-nucleotide ribosomal RNA is filed under the name uncultured Actinomycetes bacterium. Its description in RNAcentral is "bacterial SSU rRNA". It matches the Rfam family "Bacterial small subunit ribosomal RNA", at positions 76 to 730 of the family's 1533-position model. Lineage: Bacteria; Bacillati; Actinomycetota; Actinomycetes. The record is from RNAcentral.
GUGCUUGCACUGGUACUCGAGUGGCGAACGGGUGAGUAACACGUGGGUGAUCUGCCCUGCACUUCGGGAUAAGCCUGGGAAACUGGGUCUAAUACCGGAUAGGACCACAUUUUGGAUGGUGUGGUGGAAAGUUUUUCGGUGUGGGAUGAGCUCGCGGCCUAUCAGCUUGUUGGUGGGGUAAUGGCCUACCAAGGCGUCGACGGGUAGCCGGCCUGAGAGGGUGUACGGCCACAUUGGGACUGAGAUACGGCCCAGACUCCUACGGGAGGCAGCAGUGGGGAAUAUUGCACAAUGGGCGCAAGCCUGAUGCAGCGACGCCGCGUGGGGGAUGACGGCCUUCGGGUUGUAAACUCCUUUCGCUAGGGACGAAGCGCAAGUGACGGUACCUGGAGAAGAAGCACCGGCUAACUACGUGCCAGCAGCCGCGGUAAUACGUAGGGUGCGAGCGUUGUCCGGAAUUACUGGGCGUAAAGAGCUCGUAGGUGGUUUGUCGCGUCGUUUGUGUAAGCCCGCAGCUUAACUGCGGGACUGCAGGCGAUACGGGCAUAACUUGAGUGCUGUAGGGGAGACUGGAAUUCCUGGUGUAGCGGUGGAAUGCGCAGAUAUCAGGAGGAACACCGAUGGCGAAGGCAGGUCUCU